GUUCUUAUAGUUGAAAUACAACGAUGAUUUUUCAUGUCAUUAGUCAUGGUUAA
This 53-nucleotide transfer RNA is filed under the name Canis lupus familiaris (dog). RNAcentral's name for it is "partial tRNA-Glu". Lineage: Eukaryota; Metazoa; Chordata; Mammalia; Carnivora; Canidae. The record is from RNAcentral.